GAAAUGCGAUAAGUAAUGUGAAUUGCAGAAUUCAGUGAAUCAUCGAAUCUUUGAACGCACAUUGCGCCCAUUAGCAUUCUAGUGGGCAUGCCUGUUCGAGCGUCAUUUCAAACCCAUCAAGCCCUGUCUGCUUGGCGUUGGGAGACUCCCGGGCCCUCUCGCCCUGGACCUCCUCAAAUGGAUCGGCGGAGCCGUGGCGACCCGCAGCGUAGUAGAUUUCUGUCUCGCUGGUACGGUGUCGGCGCCGGCGCCCGGCCGCUAAACCCCCCCUACUUUCGUAGUCUUGACCUCGGAUCAGGUAGGAAUACCCGCUGAACUUAA
Molecule: unclassified non-coding RNA, 321 nt
Filed under: uncultured Sordariomycetes
Lineage: Eukaryota; Fungi; Ascomycota; Sordariomycetes
Description: sequence contains ITS1
Rfam family: 5.8S ribosomal RNA (bases 1-105)
Source: RNAcentral